UUUCUCUCUUUGGCAGCACAUAUACUAAAACUGGAACGAUACAGAGAAGAUUAGCAUGGCUCCUGAGCAAGCAUGACACGCAAAUUCGUGAAGUGUUCCAUAUUUUU
RNAcentral lists this small nuclear RNA (107 nucleotides) under Jaculus jaculus (lesser Egyptian jerboa). The record is from RNAcentral. Lineage: Eukaryota; Metazoa; Chordata; Mammalia; Rodentia; Dipodidae.